This 301-nucleotide ribosomal RNA is filed under the name uncultured bacterium. Its description in RNAcentral is "partial 16S ribosomal RNA". It matches the Rfam family "Bacterial small subunit ribosomal RNA", at positions 509 to 809 of the family's 1533-position model. The record is from RNAcentral.
CAGCAGCCGCGGUAAUACGUAGGGUGCGAGCGUUAAUCGGAAUUACUGGGCGUAAAGCGUGCGCAGGCGGUUUUGUAAGACAGACGUGAAAUCCCCGGGCUCAACCUGGGAAUGGCGCUUGUGACUGCAAAGCUAGAGUGCGGCAGAGGGGGAUGGAAUUCCGCGUGUAGCAGUGAAAUGCGUAGAUAUGCGGAGGAACACCGAUGGCGAAGGCAAUCCCCUGGGCCUGCACUGACGCUCAUGCACGAAAGCGUGGGGAGCAAACAGGAUUAGAUACCCCUGUAGUCCCUGUCUCUUAUAA